Molecule: long non-coding RNA, 9038 nt
Filed under: Capsicum annuum
Lineage: Eukaryota; Viridiplantae; Streptophyta; Magnoliopsida; Solanales; Solanaceae
Description: long non-coding RNA (CANN_LNC019541)
Source: RNAcentral
AAGUCUCCAACUAAUCUGACUGACUACUGAAUUAAACUUGAACAAACGUAAAAGGUCCUCAAAACAUGAGGAUUCACCACUGCUACUGCUCCUGAUGCGUUGAGAGGCCUAAGUGUGGUAGGGAACCUCAGCAUCCGAACCUAUAAUAUGAGACAUCAUAGCACAAGAGAUGAGUAUGUGGUUAGUACUUUGAAUGUACUGGAAUGCUAAAUAAGGUAGGCUGGUAAGCAUGGUUUCGUGUGUAGGAGUAAUAACUGACUAAAUGAAUAGCAUGAAAUAAUGAAUAAAAUGCAUGAAAUUUGUAAAGACCGAGAAUGCAUGACCAAGCAUAAAACAUAUUAUAUAUAAAGUCAAUAAACUAAAAUACUGAAAUCUGAUGAUUGAAUAAUUGAUAAUUGUAUGCUAUGGUUAAUACAUGCCUGAAUUGAAGUAUACUAAAUAAUAAACUAAGACAGUGGGAGCGAUCAUCUAACCGACAUGCCCCAAUGAGCAAAUUGGGGUCCAACCUGUGACCCCAGUUGGAAAGGUGUCAGUACUGUGCCACGGAUACUAACACUGGCUAUGUGGAUCCAUAAAAGUGUUAUCCCAAAGGAAUAAGGGUUACCCUCAACAGGCAGGUACCCGUAUGAGAUCAACCCUCAAUUGGCAUGUUAAUAUAUCAACCUACACUAACUACAUAGUUAUGGAAUAUGAGGACUUCUACUAAAGGUCACACCCUCAACAGGCAGGUGAACCCCCAUCCCUAGGUUCACUUGGUGCUAAAUCCUACUCCCAACCAAACUAACUUAAAAUACUGAACUGUUCUAAGUUUAACUGAUUGGGAUGACUGACUAAACUGAUAACGCUCAUAAUAUAUCUGGAAACUAUUCGGAAGAUACUGGGACUAAGUAAACAACUAUGUUUUCGGGUAUUCAUAAGCCUCAGGACUCGAUAGCAAUAAUAUCAAAAUAGUACUAAAACUUUGGAGACAUAACACGAAAGCAUUUAUUCAAAAUUCAUUCUUGUAAGCAUUUCAUCAAACACUUGAUAUUCAUAGUAUAAGCUGAGCAUGGGAAUAGUAUAAAACUUACAGUAAUAGCAUGAUUUCAGCAUAAACAACACCAAUUAGGAUUUAAAUCAGGAAAUAACAUUAUUCAAAUGUGUGGGGUUCUAUAACAACAACAACUUUGUAUAAACAUGGUAUAGAUCAAAUUUUAUGAGGAUACAUAGUUAAAAUCACAAUCAAAAUUACAAUAAAAUGGAAAGAUCAUAACUCUAAGUUUGAAGUUGGGUUCUUGAACUCCAUGGGUGAAAAGGGCCCGUAGAUGAACAUUUUAACAUACCUUGGAGCUUUAAUCUUGAAAUAGAAUUGACUUUUCUUGAGAGUUCUUGGAUUAGGAAUUAUAAUUUCUUGGUUUUCUUGAAAAAGGAAUGGUGAAACCUUGGAUUUCUUAGAGUUAAAAUUCAAGCUUAAGGGUUUCUUGGAGAGAAAUUUUUAUAAGGAAUGAGCGUAUUUUGCUUAUAAUAACAUCUAAUCCCUUAUUUUGACGACUUGGGGGCCAUAGAAAAAGACAAGAAUGCCCCUCAAACUUAAAAGUUUCAGUAAAAUCCCGAGUUUUAGGCUUAUCACUGAGUGAUAUUGGUGUCACUGCUAUAGCACCGCUGAUCGGGCUAAGAGUGGUAACCAACUAUUUUUGGACAACUCUGGUUUGGAGGUUUACCAUUGAGCGGUAUUGGCUCCAUCGCUAUUGCACCGUUGAGCGAUGUUAUCACGGCAGCUCCCUGCCUCACACGAAAAAUGCUAUAAUUUUUCACUCAGGAGUUGGAUUAAGGUAAAAUUUGUAUCAUUGGAAAGUUAAUCCAAUUAUGUAUCUUUUGGUGGAUCGUGAGCUAAAAAAUUCUUAGUAAUACGAAAGAUAUGCUCAUUUGAAGUUGAUUAUAGCAUCAUCCUUCCCAAGAACUUAUCGAUAAGAGAUAUUUUGAUUUGUCUAAUAACUAAGAGUUAUUUAAGGCUUUAAUAUACAUCAAACUCACUCAUAAAACUACCAAAACACUAUAAUUUAUUUCUUAUGAGCUUGAAGCAUGGUUCUAAUAUUGGUUUAGAUUUUUAGGGUAUUAUAAAGGUGCACUUCAUUCGGUUCCUAAGAGGAUUAUAUAUUAUGUUCAAGAUUGUAAUUUGGUUAAGAGGGGAUGUUUAUCUUAUUAUCCUCAUAUUCAUAAUACUAGUGUCGGUUUACCACUUGCCUUGGAUUCUAUCUGUGAGUUCAUAGAUGUGUUUCCUAUGAACUUACCUAUUAUGCCUUUGAAUCGAGGUAUUAAUUUUUCCAUUGAUGUUGAGUCGGGAACCAAGACAAUUUCUAUUCCUCCUUAUAGGAAAGCAUCAACAGAGUUGAAGGAACUAAAUGAUCAGUGGUAGGAGUUGUUAGAUAAGGGAUUUAUCUAACCUAGUAUUUUGCCUUAGGGUGCGCUUGUCUUAUUUAUGAAGAAAGGGGAUGGAUCUAUGAGGAUGUGUAUUGAUUAUCGAUAGUUUAAUAAGGUGAUGGUUAAGAAUAAAUAUCCUCUUCCUUGCAUCAAUGAUUUAUUUGAUCAACUUUAGGGUGUUGUAGUGUUUUCAAAGAUUUAUUUGAGGUUCGGUUAUCACCAGUUGAGGAAUAGAGCUUUGGGUAUUUCAAAGAUAGCUUUUUAGACUCAAUAUGGUCAUUAUAAUUUCUUGGUCAUGUCCUUUGAGUUGACCAAUACCCCUGCUGCAUUCAUAGAGUUGAUGAACCAGGUGUUUCAACCGUAUCUCGACUCCUUUGAUAUUAUAUUUAUAAAUGAUAUAUUGGUGUAUUCCAAGAGUGAGACUGAGCAUAAGGACCAUUUGCAUAUUGUGCUUUAGAGACUGAGGGAUGAGAAGUUGCUUGCGAAGUUCUCUAAGUGAGAGUUUUGGUUGGAGUUUCUUUCUUUCUUGGGUCAUGUGGUAAUUAAGAAAGGUAUUAUGGAUGAUCCAGCCAAGGUUCCAGCAGUUUGUUUUUGCGCUAGACUUACUUCGCCCACUGUGAUUCGAAAUUUUGUCGGCUUAGUAGGUUAUUAUCAGUAAUUUAUUGAGGAUUUCUCUUCUAUUGCAGCUUUAUUGACCAAGUUGAUAUAGAAUAAGAUUCCAUUUCAGUGGUUUGAUGCUUGUGAGGGGAGCUUCCAAAAGCCCAAGGAUUUAUUGAUUUCAGUUCCUAUAUUGGCUUUGCCUAAUGAGGGCAUGGGCUUUACUGUGUUUUAUGACACUUUGGGUGUUGGAUUGGGUGCUCUGUUGAUGCAGAAGGAUAAGGUAAUUGUGUAUGCUUCUGUUCAAUUAAUGCACUAUGAGAGAAAUUACUUUACCCAUGGUUUAAAGUUGUACAUGGUUGUGUUUUCUUUGAAUUUGUGGAGGCACUACUUGCUUGGAGUCUGUUGUAAGAUCUUCUUAUAUCAUCGUAGCCUUCAAUACUUCUUCACAUAGUAAGAUCUUAAUAUGAGGCAGCGAUGUUAUCUUGAUUUACUUUAGGAUUAUGACUUGACCAUUCUCUAUCAUCUGGGCAAAGCUAAUGUGGUUGCAAAUGCCUUAAGCUAGAAGUCGACUAGCAUAGGUAGCUUAGUGCAUCUUUUGAACCAAGAAAGGCCUUUGACCUUAGAGGUUCAGUCUUUAGCUAACCAGAUAGUUAUGCUUUUAUUUUGAUACCUGGGUGUGUUUUGGCAUUUGUGGAGGCAAGAUCUUCUCUGAUGGAGAAGAUUUGAGCUCAUCAGUUUGAUAAUAUUGGAUUGAGGUUGAUUCAAUACAAGGUAUUAGUGGGGAGGCUAAGGAAACCUCACUUAAUUCAAAUAGAGUUUUAUGGAUGGGAGGUCGAGUUUUUGUUCCGAGAGUUGGUGACUGGAUUAGGUUAACCAUAAAGGAGGCCCAUUGUUCCAAAUAUUUCAUUCAUCUAGGUGUGAUUAAGAUGUAUCAUGAAUUGAGAUAGCACUACUGGUGGAUUGGUCUGAUGUGAGAUAUAGCAAAUUUUAUGGCUCAUUACUUAUGUUGUCAGCAGGUGAAGGCCAAGUAUUUGAGACCUGGUAGAUUGCUUCAGAGGUUGCCCAUUCCCCAAUGGAAGUGGGAACGGAUCACCAUGGACUUUGUGACUUCUUUACCUCAUAUAUCUCAUGGUUCUGAUAAUUUUUAGGUCAUCGUGGAUCGAUUGACCAAGUCAGCUUAUUUUACUCUAGUUCAGGUCUCAUUCAGUACUGAGAGGCUGGCCCAUAUCUACAUUCAUGAAAUUGUCCGUCUUCAUGGUGUACCGGUGUCCAUUAUUUCAGAUCUAGGUCAUGUUUUCACAUAUCAAUUUCGGAAGACAUUUUAGGAUGAGUUGGGUACUCGAGUGAAUCUCAAUAUAGUGUUUCACCCCCAGAUAAAUGGUGAGUCAGAGCAAACUAUCCAAGUUUUGGAGGAUAUGCUUCGCACAUGCGUGUUAGAUUUUGGUGGCUAAUGGGAGCAGUAUAUGGCUUUAGCAGAGUUUGCAUAUAAUAAUAGCUACCAUUUUUGUAUUGAUAUGGCUCCUUUCGAGGCGUUGUAUGGUUGGCAUUGUCAUUCCCUAGUGAGUUGGUUUUAUGUUUUGGAAGUGAGACCUCGAGGUAUGUACUUACUUCGUGAGUCUUUGGAUAAAGUCUGGGUCAUUUAAAAUAGACUUAGAGUGGCUCAGAGUAGACAGAAGUACUAUGUUGAUCGUAGACUUCAUGCCUUGAUAUUUGAUAUUAGUGAUCGAGUUUUUAUUCGAGUUUCACCCAUGAAGGGUGUGAUGAGGUUUGGGAAGAGGGGCAAGUUUAGCCCUAGGGAUAUUGGUCCAUUUGAGUUCUUUGGACUGUUAGUGAUGUAGCUUAUGAAUUGUAUUUGCCCCCUGAUAUAUCAGUUGUUCAUCCAGUUUUUCAUAUUUUUAUGCUUCGCUAUUAUAUUUCAGAUGAGUCUCAUACUACUUGUUGGGAAUCAGUUCAAUUAGAUGAGCAAUUAUCUUUUGUUGAAGAGCCAUUCUUCACUUUGGAUAAAGAUGUUAGGCGGUUGCACACUAGAGUGAUCCCUGUGGUUAAGUUCCAGUAGAGACAUCGACCCAUAGAUGAGGCAACUUGGGAGGUUUAGUCUAAUAUGCAUAGUUUUUAUCCCUAUCUCUUCGUUGAUUUGCCUUAGUUCGAGAACGAAUUGCAGCUUUAGUGGUGGAUGAUGUAACGAUCAGUUUUUUGAUGAAAUAUGUGAAAUAUGCAUUUUUGUGUGAUUUUUCUAUUUUACCCCACCCCGUAGUUGUAUUAUGCUAUUUAUGAAGUGUGGGGGUGAUUGGCAUGGUCCCCAAUAUAUUUUGUUACCAUUUAUGUGAUAUUGUGAUUUUUUGUGGCUUCGAGAACCUUAUUUCAGACUUAUGUAGAUAUCUUUUGAUCUGUGUGAGGAUGGCUGAACAAACUGUUCCAGCAGCUCCAGAAUAACAAUUUUAGUCUAUUUGACCUUUGGUUCGGGUCCUAGUGCACACGAGCUUAUUUUGACCUAUUGGUCGGACAGUUGAAAGAAAUAUGGGUGUGGGAUCCACAUUUAGUCGAAAGGACCUUGGAUGGAAAAUCCGACUUCUUCCGUAUAUUCAGAACAUCGAUUUUAGGGUGGUAACAUGUUUGGUGUAAUUUUACAGCAUUUAAAUUUCAUUUCGACCCUCGGUUUGAAAAAUUGUGAUUUCGAAUUUCGGGGAUCAACUUUGUUAAACGAUGUUUUAUAAAAAAUCUAGCAUCGUCAUUGGUCUAGAACAUCGAAUUUAGUACGGUUGAAUGGUUCAUUUACAUGUAUCAAACUCCAAGUGAAUCCUGGGUAUCCCAUCGAAGUUCGGGGUGGACUUGAAGAAAAAAUCUGGUGCAAAAUAGAAAAAAUCUGCAAUGUAAAUAGACCAUUUUUGGACAUUUUUGCUCAUUUUUCAUCUUGUCUCUUGAAAGUUAAACCCAAAAAUAAUGUGGGAGCUUAAAAGUGAAACUUGUGAGAGCUUGGGAAACUAGAUUAACAUCUAUUUCUUGGUUCUAUUACAAAUUUAAGGUAAGAAUUCACCCUUUUCUUAAUUAUUUCUUGAUUAAUUUUUCAAAAUCCAAAAAAUCUUGGGGCUUGAUUUUAAAUCUCAAUUUUACUUCUUUUCACUUGAAUAAUGUCUUUAUCUUAUAAUUACUAGUUUUUCAUCAAUUUAGUCUUCAACAGAACUCUGAUUCUUGAUUUUAACCCAGAUUUUAAAGAUUUUACUCGGUAAAGCUUAAAAAUGAUUUUUCUUCGAUUUGAACCUCGUUUUUUUACUUGAUUUGACUUGUAUUUUCAGUUUUAGGUUCCUAAAAUAUGACAAAUACAUUUUUAAAGUAUAGUUACAAUUUUGCCCUUCUUUUUUGAAAACUCAUUUCGGGGAUCCAUUUUGAUCCCAAAUCAAAAGUAGCCAAUAUGAAUAUCGUUGGUUUUUUUUUUAUGCAUAGAUUCCAUAUUUGAUAUUUUUAGUGGAUUUCAAAACCGUUCAUGAGGAUUAAGACUUUGGGAGCAAAGUCUUGGUAGCGGUAUUUCGACUUUUGAGGUAGAUUAUGGCUUAACUCUUUCAGACUGGGCUUGGUAGUAAAUGAUGGUACAAAAUGCAUGUUUAGAGUGGGAAAUAAUCUUGAAAAAUGGAUAGUUAUGUGUUUUUCCUGUGCGGGGGCCUAUUUAUGAUGUAAUUGUUGAAAUUGAGAUAUGAUGUGAUAUGUGUGACCAUGUGGGGUCCUAUGUGGUGUUGAUAGUCUUGAAUAUAUGUGAAUAAUUAUAUUGUGUUGUUGAAAUUCCGAAUGUGGUUUCAUUGGUAUAUUAUGAUAUGUCCAUACUUAUUGGUAUAUGAGACAUGUGGAAAUUCAUAGAUGAAAUAGAAGUAAUGAGUGGAAAUUGACUCUUGUUGUUGUGAAAUUAUCACAUUGUGGUUGGUUGCGGAAAUAUCAUGUGGAUUGGUUUACAUCAUAUGGAUUGAUUAUGGAAAUACUCAUUCUGAAUUAUUGUGAACAUUGCAUCGUCAUUCUCAUGUCAUUAUGUGCAUCAUUUAAUUUAUUUAUUUUAUUGUUUUAUAUUUACUUAUUGUCAUGUGUGUGUACUUGAUUUGUGUCUUAUGUUAUGUACGUGCUUUGGAAAUACUGGAAAACUAGAAUACUGGAUAUUGGUAUCGAAUAUUGGAUUUUAUAGACCAUCUCCAAAGAAUUAUGUCGGAGAAGAGUUUGGAUAUUGGUGAUCUUGGGGUUGUGUGUCAAACUUGAGCCUGUGUGCCAAACUUGAAGUUGUGUGCCAAACUCAAGGUUUUGUGUCGGUCCCAUUCAUCAUCAUCAUAUAUUGCACCCGAUUUAUUGUGUUUAUGUUAUGUUUGAAUUUCCAUAUUGACUUGUCAUCUACCUACUUGUUCUAUAUCUUGACUUAUUAACGUCUAAUUGUUCUAUCUUCCUUUAAUUGUACUUGAUGAUCUUGAUUAUAAAUGUCCCUCUUCUUUUCUACUUGUAUGUGAUAUUGUUUAUAUUUGUAUUCUUAUCUUGUGUGUUGUUGUAGUAUAUAUAUGGAUAUUAUAGAACUGUUAGUGCAAGCUGUGUGGUCUACUGUUGUGGGACAUUUUUUGAUUGCAGGUGACGUCCCCUUAGUAUGUAUUUUGUAUGUUUUAUUUUCUACUUUGCUCGGUCGGCCUAUGAUACCUACUGAGUACAAAUGAACCGUACUUACUCCUACUUCACCCUUUCGGUGCAACUUUAGGUUUGGGUGCGCCUCAACUAGUUGAUUUCGGGUGCCUUCAGGUUUCUCAAGGAAGUGGUUGGACAUUCAUACGUCCGGAGUUCACCCUCUAUCUUUCUACACUAGUUAUGUCUUUAUUAGUGUUCAGAAACAAAUAUUUUUCUUUGUGGUUAUUUUUCGAUGUAAUUAACUUCGAGAUUGUAUCAGUAGUUCUUAUACUAUUGACACCAGGUUUUGAGAGUUAUGGCUGCAUGUGUUGAUUUUAUUCUUUUCACUUUUCUUAUAUCUAUUUGGUUCAACUUUGUUCUAGAAGCCUUACCUUGAGGGCAUUUUUGUCUCUUCCUCGUGUAAAUCAAUUUGGGUGAGAGACUUAGUUGUCAAGUUUUGUCGUGACAAGUGCCAUAAUGACCUAUCAAUUUUUGGAUCGUGACAAUCCCACUAUAGUUGGGGUGAAGGACCAGUUCUAAUAAAUUUCGAGAUGAAAAAAUGAUUUUAUUAAAUAUUUUCAUACUUUAAUUAAGAAAUAAAUGAAAAUGGUAAAAAUUAAGGAGAAAAAUUAUUUCUAAAAAAAUAAAAAAAAUAAUAGUUGAAGUAUUAUCAAUAAAUUAAAAUGAAUAUUAAUUGAAGCUCUAAUAUAACUUUUAACUUCAAAAAAAUAUUUUUUUUCAAAAUUCUUUACCCAAAACUUGUUUACAAAUAAUAAAAAUACAUAUUAUAUUUUGUAAAAAUAUCUAUUAAACAUCCCAAAAAAUCCCAUCUGAAAUGUCUAUUAAGUACUGUUUUGAUUAAUUUGUGAAUUUUCUUUUGAAAUAAUAAUUUUUUAUAUUAUUUUCUUUAAAUAUAAUUAUAUUAAGUGAUAUCAUCUCAAUUAAUAGCACGUGAUUACAUUAAACAAAAAAUCAUAUCACUUUAACACAUAUUUCUUCACUUGUUUUAAUCAAGAUUCGUGAAUAGCAACAAACAUAAAACAAAAGAUUACCUCAAUCCUUGUCCCAUUAUGAGGAGGAAAACGUAAAUAAAGUAUUUUGCAAAUAUUCAACGGUUUCUAAUAACUUAUGUUCUUUCUUCUUCUGCUUCAUCUCCCCCUCCCCCCCUACGAUCUCUUGCGGGAAUCUCUCAUCUCCCUUCUUUCUCAUUUCUUUCCAUUUUGUUCUUCUAUCCUUUGUCUUGUCCUUUCUUUUGUCUCUGCUUCUCCUUUAUCUCGCUUUGUGGCACCACCUUCCUAUGUUGUUCUGUCACUUUUUUUCACUCAUUUUUCAUAUCUUUCUUGUAUCCUUCGUCUAUCCUCCCCUUCUCGAAUGAUCUGUUAUAUUAUUGGAUGAAUGAAUGGUCCAGAUUUUUC